Zea mays is the source of this 129-nucleotide long non-coding RNA. RefSeq lists it as uncharacterized. The record is from RefSeq and is a predicted model, not a curated record. NCBI's taxonomy places the organism in Eukaryota, Viridiplantae, Streptophyta, Magnoliopsida, Poales, Poaceae. The transcript is spliced from 3 exons.
UUAUUAAAAAAGGCUGGGUUGUACUUGCGAGCCCUCCAGCAUUACUCAGAGUUGCCUGAUAUCAAGCGUGCCAUUGUAAAUACCCAUGUCAUUGAACCACAGACACUUGUUGAGUUCUUUGGAACAUUG